CACGGGGGGAGCAAGCGUUGUUCGGAAUCACUGGGCGUAAAGGGCGUGUAGGCGGUCUGGUAAGUGGGAUGUGAAAGCCCCCGGCUCACCCGGGGAUCUGCAUUCCAAACUGCCAGACUUGAGUAUGGGAGAGGACAGGGGAAUUCCUGGUGUAGCGGUGAAAUGCGUAGAUAUCAGGAGGAACACCGGUGGCGAAAGCGCCUGUCUGGCCCAAUACUGACGCUGAUGGACGACGAAGCUAGGGGAGCAAACAGG
RNAcentral lists this ribosomal RNA (255 nucleotides) under uncultured bacterium. RNAcentral describes it as "partial 16S ribosomal RNA". It matches the Rfam family "Bacterial small subunit ribosomal RNA", at positions 524 to 776 of the family's 1533-position model. The record is from RNAcentral.